GCUGGAGGUAUCAGAAGUGCGAAUGCUGACAUGAGUAACGAUAAAGGGGGUGAAAAACCCCCUCGCCAGAAGUCCAAGGUUUCCUACGCAACGUUAAUCGGCGUAGGGUUAGUCGGCCCCUAAGGCGAGGCAGAAAUGCGUAGUCGAUGGGAAACGGGUUAAUAUUCCCGUACUUCAUAUAACUGCGAUGGGAAGACGGAGAAGGUUAGCUCAGCAAGGCGAUGGUUGUCCUUGUUCAAGCGUGUAGAAAUGGUUCUUAGGAAAAUCCGGGAACCUCUAUUUCAAGGCGUGAUAACGAUCCCUCUUUUGGGAGAAGUGAGUGAUACCAUGCUUCCAGGAAAAUCCUCUAAGCUUCAGGUUAUAUGAAACCGUACCCCAAACCGACACAGGUGGACGAGAUGAGAAUUCUAAGGCGCUUGAGAGAACUCGGGUGAAGGAACUAGGCAAAAUGACACCGUAACUUCGGGAGAAGGUGUACUCUUGUUAUGUGAAAUCACUCGCUGAUAGAGCAGAAAAGAGUUGAAAAUACUAGGUGGCUGCGACUGUUUAUUAAAAACACAGCACUCUGCAAACACGUAAGUGGACGUAUAGGGUGUGACUCCUGCCCGGUGCUUGAAGGUUAAUUGAUGAGGUUAGCGCUUGCGCGAAGCUUUUGAUCGAAGCCCAAGUAAACGGCGGCCGUAACUAUAACGGUCCUAAGGUAGCGAAAUUCCUUGUCGGGUAAGUUCCGACCUGCACGAAUGGAGUAACGACGGCCACACUGUCUCCACCCGAGACUCAGUGAAAUUGAAAUUGCUGUUAAGAUGCAGUAUACCCGCGGCCAGACGGAAAGACCCCGUGCACCUUUACUACAGCUUUGCAUUGAACUCUGAUCCUACUUGUGUAGGAUAGGUGGGAGGCUUUGAAGCUUUAACGCUAGUUAGAGUGGAGCCACCCUUGAAAUACCACCCUGGUAUGGUUGGGGUUCUAACCUAGGUCCGUAAUCCGGAUCGGGAACAAUGCAUGGUGGGUAGUUUGACUGGGGCGGUCUCCUCCCAAAGAGUAACGGAGGAGCGCAAAGGUAUCCUCAGCACGGUCGGACAUCGUGCAAUGAGCGCAAAGGUAAAAGGAUGCUUGACUGCGAGACUGACACGUCGAGCAGGUAGGAAACUAGGUCUUAGUGAUCCGGUGGUUCUGAGUGGAAGGACCAUCGCUCAACGGAUAAAAGGUACGCCGGGGAUAACAGGCUGAUAC
This 1233-nucleotide ribosomal RNA is filed under the name marine metagenome. RNAcentral's name for it is "bacterial LSU rRNA". It matches the Rfam family "Bacterial large subunit ribosomal RNA", at positions 1272 to 2488 of the family's 2925-position model. The record is from RNAcentral.